RNAcentral lists this transfer RNA (72 nucleotides) under Camelus bactrianus (Bactrian camel). It matches the Rfam family "tRNA". Rfam says of the family: Transfer RNA (tRNA) molecules are approximately 80 nucleotides in length. RNAcentral also lists the same sequence under 2 other names. The record is from Rfam by way of RNAcentral. Lineage: Eukaryota; Metazoa; Chordata; Mammalia; Artiodactyla; Camelidae.
GAGGGUAUAGCUCAGUGGUAGAGUGCAUGCCUAGCAUGCACAAGGUCCUGGGUUCAAUCCCCAGCACCUACA